UGUCUCUGUAUUUAGGUCUAAUAAGUAAAGAAAGGAUUUUCUGUGACAGUCCAAAGUUUUGUACAUGCUUAAAAUAUGAGCUAGCAGAAACUCUGAGUAAGCUUUGCAAGGUGGAUUGGGGCACUAAAGAAAGGAGAAGAUAGGAACUCUAGCUGAGUCAUAUUAAUAGCAGCUCACUAAAGAUUCAAAAACUGCUGAUGCGGAGGCACAGAAAGCUGCCAUAACUCCGGAAUUACCUUUCAACUCCAAUAUCCCAUAGCCCCAGGCUGUAAGCAUUUUCUUUCAAUGUCCCAAGAUACAUAUCCCAUACUUCUUGCAAUGUACAUAUAUAUCUUAACUGGCACAAAUGGGUCUCUGAAUUAUUCACGAAACUUAGUUUAUUGAAGACAGAGUCCAAAGCUUUUUCCAUUAUACCUAAUAAGCUUAUGCCAGGAACAACAGAUGUCACAUUUGAAAGACAAGUUGGUAGUGCGUACAUCUCUAACUGAUUUUCAGUCUGCAGUGAGACUUGUAAGCAAAACUGGGCUGAUCUGGUGGAACUCUGGUACCAAAUAUCCAUCUCCUUCCUACCUACGUAACUACUUCUCAGUUUCUUUGUUUCCAACAUAAUCCUGAAAUAUAUUAAUUACAAUAUUUUCCAUAGUUAAUUAUAUGGAGGGAAUUCCUUCAAACUUCUAUCAAAUUACUUCAGUCAUGGAGAAACUUCAUUAGCUCACCUGCUCUUUGUAUGGACUUCAAUUUGCAGAGCUUUUUAGAACCAGGACCGCUGAUCUAAUGGACCAGACAUGUGCUUUUAGUGUGUAUGAAUCCAGAUACAUAUUAUGUGUUAGUGGUUUCUGGAAUCCUCCCAGAAAUAAAGGUGCAGGUUUGAGAUUGAGUGCACAGUGAUUCUCAAAACAUGUUUUACUGCCCUGAUGCUUUUUUAAAUGAACAUGUUCAGAUUAUUUUUAUCUCUUUAGUUAUAUUAUAACAUACCUAGUUUGUAGUAAAGAAGUAUCUUUUAGUAUAAAAAUGGAAGCAUAACUUCUUUUAUUAUUCUCCAGUAUAUUUCAGAUUUUAAAUUGAAUGGUUUAUGUCAGAGGUUAACAAUAUGGGGUCUUAGAUUAAAACAAGCCCUGUGUAAUCUUAUUGAGCCAGUAGGUCACAAAAAUAAGAGAAAAUGUGUUUGAAUCACAGGAGAGAAGGGAUGUUGGAUGGAUCUGUGAAAUAUUUCAUGUUGUAGUAUCAGCUGAUUGAUAGCAGUGAUUCUCAGAAGGGUUCCAAUAUUAUGCCUUUUAAAAGCUGGAGAUUAGUGCAACCAUGGUGAACAGCACAACACUCUGGCAAAGAAAAAGGGUCAGGGCUGGCAAAAUGUGGCAGGUGUCAAAAUAAAAGGUUAGGCUCUGUGCCUGGGGACCCAUCUGUCAGAUAUAAGUAUGAUAAGCAAUUAAUGUAUUUAUUUACAUUGCUCAUGAAAAACCAUGUAUUCCAUAAAAGUGGUCAAUUUAAAUACCUUCCACUGUUCGCUAGAAAUUAGAAUAUAAAAAUAAAAUGUUCAAGACAAAAAGUAAGGAAUAAUAAUGAAAUGGUUUGUUUCUAUAAAUAAGUAAAGGUUUGAAGAAUUCUAGUAGUCUGCAUUGAAGGAUUAAAUCCAGUAAAUAUAACAUUUUAACAAUAGAGUGGUGAUAUUAAGGAUCUACAAAAUCAAUGUUUAUUUUGCAGGAUAAUUUUGGUAGCAUUCCUUGUAAGUUCAGGAUGCUUUAUACUCAUUAGUCUAGAUUUCAUAAUUGAAUAAUGCAACAAAGCCCAGAAAAAUUAUGAGGGAAUAGAAAUUUAGAAAUCUAAUAUAUGUCUUACAUUUUCUUUAAAUGUUUUGUUCACAACCUUGUCAUUAUUAGAGCUUUCAUUUGCACUUUGUGACUAAUCCCGACUCCUCUUUAUUUAUUAUUUAUUUAGCUUUCUCACUACUUCUGCUUUCCAAUCUGUUUAAACUAGAUUAUGUUUAUAUUUAACAUUCACCAGUGAGACUUUUUUUUACAGAUAAAAUACAUUAUAACUUUUAAAUCAUAAUCAUAAGCUUUUAAAAUGUUACUUUAUUUCACUGGUCAGUAAAAAUCUAACCCAGAAUAUGAGUAAAAUCAGACUUACUAAAAUUUUAUGGAUAAACCGACCUCCCCCCAUAUUUUUCCCUGAAUAAAGUUAAAGCUCUAUAUUAUGUUUUAGUAAGUGAAACUCACACCUUAUGGUAAUACCAAAAUUUGAAGAGAAACGACAUGUAAGUCUAUACUGUAAAAUGUUAUACGGAGGGAAAAUUCAAGUUCCUUCAUUGUAGGUAGGGGGAGAAAUGCCAAUAUGACUAUGUUAUUGCAAGUUGCACAUCCUGUCUGCUAAGUGAUGAAAUUAAACAAGCAAAGCCACUGGAAUAGUAAAGAGAAUCAUUUGGCUUUGGAAAGAACAGAGGUAUUAUGUUCAAUAGAUUUAUUUUCUUAUUGUUGAAGCAAUGUAUAUGCCAUCAGUAUGUUCCAUUUAUUGGAAAGAUACUGGUUAAACUUUAAGUCAUUGAUUCUUCUCUCCAGAAUUCGCUUCUAGCUCUGAUAUCAUUAGAGUCUUAAACUAUCUGCUAUUUUUACUAUCAAACUUGGCUUCCCAUGGUAUAACAGCAAUGUUAGAGUAGGAGUUGAGGAAGGAAAUCUAAAUUAAAAAAAGAUACAAACUUUAAACUUUGUUGUAUGUUCCAUUUAAUGGUCUGAUAUAUGAUUUACAAAUUAUGUUUGAAAUUUAAUUAUAAUUAACUGUUACUUAAAGUCAAAUUAAUUCAUGGCUUUAUUUCCUGAUUGAAUUCAAUGUUUUUCCUACUGCCAAUUUUAUUUCAUUUGAACCUCAGUCAUCUAAGUUAGCUCUGUUUCUUAUCUAUUUACUUUCAUUUGAUUGAAUGCCCUUGAAGAAAAUGUAUCAGGCCAAAAAAAAAUAAUAUAUAUAUAAUUCCUUAUUUGCCAUUCUAUACAACUCUUCAAGAUCCUAGGAUAUGCUACAUAAUAAAAAUAAUAACUUCAACAGAAAGUCAAGAUGUCACUGAAUUUUGCCAGAGAGACACAAGAAUAAUACAUCAAACAGAAGAAGUAUAUGAGAACAAUUUUGCUGGGUAUAUAUUUACUUCAAUUCAACCAUUUGGAGAAAUAAUGAAAAUUCUGAUGAGUUUUAAAACUCAUAGUACAAAUAUGCAUUGAUCUAUCACCACAGGGGCAUGUGAUGUAAUUGUGGCCAAUGAGAUACAAGCCAACAUCUUCUAGAUUUUUUCCACUCUUCAGACAAAAGGAAGAGAUGUCUUUCAUCCAACCUUUGAACAGUCUUACGAGAAGCUGUUUGAAGCUGCUGUAGCCAUCUUGUAAGGCUGGAGAGAAUAUCAGACAUUCUAAGGAAGACAGAGAAGACAGUCUCGGAACCAACCCUGUACCACCCUACUUUUAUUUAAAGUUCUUGAUAUGUGACAUAAUAAAUUUUCCUUAUUGUUU
Molecule: long non-coding RNA, 3491 nt
Organism: Mustela erminea (ermine)
Lineage: Eukaryota; Metazoa; Chordata; Mammalia; Carnivora; Mustelidae
Exons: 3
Source: RefSeq, a predicted model, not a curated record